RNAcentral lists this long non-coding RNA (1014 nucleotides) under Bemisia tabaci. Its description in RNAcentral is "lncRNA ENSSSA1UGG008373". Lineage: Eukaryota; Metazoa; Arthropoda; Insecta; Hemiptera; Aleyrodidae. The record is from RNAcentral.
CUACUUCUCCGAAUUUUUCAGGAAUUUUUUACAUCGUACCUCAUCUCACAAUUUGUUCACGCAGAAAGCUUUGAUGCGUCUAUUUUGAAAUAGUAUUAGGAACAUAUCUUAUUACUGUUCAAACUUUAGUGCUGUUUCAAUUCCAGUUUCUCCUGCGCUGGCUGAUCUGGUAAAUCCCUGAGGAAUUCGAUUUGUCUUGCAAAUUUUGCACUCCUUGGCAUUUGCUAUUGCUCGUCACGUUGUGCAAUUCUUUUCAUCAACUUCAUCCACGUGGUUUCCUAAGCGGAAAGAAUCUUCUGUAGACGCAAACGCGUAAGAAAUUUCAAACUUUUGCAGCAGUAGACUGUAAACCCAUAACUACAUAAAUUGUUGUACACAAGCUCUUCUUAGAUUUUCUUCAAUCUAAAUAUCUGCCCACAACUAUCAUUUAAAGGUUGGUUUUUAAGUGUUCUGGGGUUUCUGAAUUGUCAGAAGCAGACAAAAAAUACUUUGUACAGCCUGAGGAGAACUGAGGAUGGUUGAAGACUGAUUUUUGUUAUCAUAUAAACUUGUUCACUCGUCUCAUCUUGGUUUCUUCACUAAAAGGCUCCAAAAAGUCCGGUGUGAGAAAAUUGCAGACAACAUAAGAACAACUGACCCCGCCACAGUUCAGCAGAAAACACUCAUUCGGGUAUAAUUUCUAAAAUAUCGGGCUUCAGAAUUAAUUGUAGAGGUACCAGCACAUCUGGAAUUGAGAGUUAGUUGUUCUGAAAUUUAUAAAAAAGAACGACAAAACUCACAUCAUUGACUAAGCUGUAUCAAUUUUAUUUUAUAGCUUCUGAUAGCUCAGGGUUGUUUUAGUGUAACCUGAUGAUAUAAGAGUUUAUAAUUUUGUGUUGAUUGGUCCUCUGUAUCCAUUAAAUUAUCAUUUUCUAAUCGGAGCUCUUUUUAAGGUUUAAAUAACUCUCCUAGGCUCUGCCCUUUUGUGAGAAUUUACGAAGUUUAAUAUCUAGAAUUUGCAUUCAACGUAUUACU